Molecule: ribosomal RNA, 384 nt
Filed under: Triticum aestivum (bread wheat)
Lineage: Eukaryota; Viridiplantae; Streptophyta; Magnoliopsida; Poales; Poaceae
Description: partial small subunit ribosomal RNA
Source: RNAcentral
AUGGAGAUCCUGCCGCUGCUAAUCUCCAUAGGCAGCACAAAAAAAGGGACGUCGUUGGAGGUUGAGAACCAGAGAAAGCAAGGGAUGAAGGGAAUCAAUGUCAUCAGAGAAAACAAAGUAACUUACAGCCCAGCUCAUCUUAAUUCUUCACCAAGGCAUGCUGAUCUCUACACCCGCCGGUGCGAGGAGCACUAUCGCCAAUCCAUGGCUUUGUGGGCCGCAUACAAGCCCUGCCGCAUAAGACAGAACCAGGAACGGGUUUGGUGCAUCAGUCGGGGGUACCCCUGCUCCCCGGUCCUUGAAGCUGCCACCAGCGCCAGCCUACACCGGAGUGCAGCAGCAACUCCAGCAACUUCGCCCGCAGCUGCCGGUCGUCCGUGGUGA